Molecule: ribosomal RNA, 253 nt
Filed under: uncultured bacterium
Lineage: Bacteria
Description: partial 16S ribosomal RNA
Rfam family: Bacterial small subunit ribosomal RNA
Source: RNAcentral
UACAGAGGGUGCAAGCGUUGUUCGGAAUCAUUGGGCGUAAAGGGCAGGUAGGUGGUUUAGUAAGUCGACUGUGAAAUCCCUGGGCUCAACCCAGGAACUGCGGUUGAUACUACUGAACUAGAGUGCUAGAGGGGUUCGUGGAAUACUCGGUGUAGCGGUGAAAUGCGUAGAUAUCGAGUGGAAUAUCAGAGGCGAAGGCGACGAACUGGAUAGUAACUGACACUCAACUGCGAAAGCGUGGGGAGCAAACAGG